This 1671-nucleotide long non-coding RNA is filed under the name Nicotiana benthamiana. RNAcentral describes it as "long non-coding RNA (NBEN_LNC026282)". Lineage: Eukaryota; Viridiplantae; Streptophyta; Magnoliopsida; Solanales; Solanaceae. The record is from RNAcentral.
AGCGAAUUAGACGGAUUGUUAAAAUAUGGUCUCAUUUUGCCAGCACUACUCCUAACAAAUAAAAUUGUGUGCAAAUCACUUACUCUUGUCGUGGCAAGCAAAAUCAACGAGAAGAGAACAGGUAAAAGAAAAAUUCCAAAAUCGAUAAAAUAAUAUUGACGGAAUUAAAUCUAUUUUUCAGUAGACUUCUAUUCUUUUACUCCUUCCGUUUUAUUUUAUGUGAACCUGAUUGACUGGACACAAAUUUUAAGAAAAAAAUAAAGAUUUUUAGAAUUUGUGGUACUAAACAAGUCAAAAAGGGGCCAGAAUAUUUGUAUAAUUAUAAAAACUUUUCAUUAAGAAUAGAAUUAUAAGUUUAGGCUAAAUUGUUUCCAAAUUUAGAAAGAGAUCAUUCUUUUUUGAACGGAUCAAAGAAAAUAGGUUCACAUAAACUGUGACGGAGGGAGCAUGUGUUUUUUCCAUUGACAACAUUGAUUAGAAAUAUGAGUGUAUACAAAUUCAAGCAUAAAAAAGAGAUUAUUUGAAACCUGUUAUGAAAUAAUAAAAGAAGAAAAAGAAGAGUAUUGUAAAAAAAUUAGGGAAAGGAGAAUUCUUAUUGAUAUGGGAAGAAAUACAAUAGAAUGGAACUCUCUAUUUAUAGGGAGAGACUGACUUAGCCACGAAGUAAUCAACCCUAGAAUCUCUCUAAAUAUGGACAUUCACCAUAAAUAGAAUUCUAUUUAUAACACUCCCCCUUGAAUGUCUAUUCAACAGAUAAUGUGCCUCGUUAAAACCUUAACUAAAAUAAAAUCUGGUGGGAAAAAGGCUCUAGAGAAGAAAAAAGAGUACACAUAUCUAACAAUACGUUUUUUUGUUGCCUCAUUAAAAACCUUGCAAGGAAAACCUAGUGGAACAAAACCUUAUAAGGAAAAAAGAGUGCAACGCGCAUUAACUCCCCCUGAUGAGAGCAUUAAUUCACAUCUUUAAGCAUUUGCAUUUCAAUCUUGUGCAUCAUCUUCAAAACGAUCUCUGGUAGAGAUUUGAUAAACAAAUCAUCCGUAUUAACUUGAAUAAAUAUGUUUCACCUUGAAAUCAUCAUACUUGAUAGAAAUGUAAUGUCUUUAUAAAGUGUCGUGGAAUGGCAUUUUCAAUAUCUCCAUAGAGAUUUCCGCUAUCAUAUUAUCAUGCUUAUGUUUAUAACAAGAUACAAAUGUACACAAAUUGCACUGAGAAAGUGGUACUUAAGGAUUAAGAAUUGUAUAUGCUUUAAGCAACUUAAAUCAUUCAUGGAUUGUCAUAUAAGUUAAGUCAUAUAAGCCAUAUAAUAGACUUUACCCGCAUAUCAAGUUUUCAUGUCAUGCUAUACAUAAAAGAUAUCGAAAACUGAUUGCACAUACCAUUGACUUUAUACUUUUAAGUAUUUAAAUAACAUAGACAAAAUUAUAUGUCUUUCACACGAAACUAAUUCUAUCGGAAUUGUGUAUCUUCUAUUUAGACAAUAUUUUGUGUCUAUAUUCGAUAGACUUAAGAUCCUCACCGAUACUUAGCGCUAUGAUAGAUGUCGUUGACGAACAUGUUAUAUCGGUUCCAAUAAAUUUUCAUAAAGACAUAACAUAGAGAUCUCUUCAUUCAUAUAUUCCGGUACCUGAAUCUCUCAUGAGCUUUUAUGAAGUGUUAUGUCAUGUGACCUUC